RNAcentral lists this transfer RNA (67 nucleotides) under Glyptotermes sp. B TB-2014. Its description in RNAcentral is "tRNA-Ile". The record is from RNAcentral. Lineage: Eukaryota; Metazoa; Arthropoda; Insecta; Blattodea; Kalotermitidae.
AAUGUAGAGCCUGAAUAAAGGAUUAUCGUGAUAGGAUAAAACAUGUAAAAUUAAAUUACCUACAUUA